RNAcentral lists this ribosomal RNA (401 nucleotides) under uncultured bacterium. RNAcentral describes it as "bacterial SSU rRNA". It matches the Rfam family "Bacterial small subunit ribosomal RNA", at positions 29 to 429 of the family's 1533-position model. The record is from RNAcentral.
AUUGAACGCUGGCGGCGUGCCUAACACAUGCAAGUCGAGCGGUAACAGGUGUAGCAAUACAUGCUGACGAGCGGCGGACGGGUGAGCAAUGCUUGGGAAUCUGCCUAUUAGUGGGGGACAACCCGGGGAAACUCGGGCUAAUACCGCAUACGCACCCAUGGUGGAAAGCCGGGGACCGCAAGGCCUGGCGCUAAUAGAUGAGCCCAAGUCGGAUUAGCUAGUUGGGAGGUAAUGGCUCACCAAGGCGACGAUCCGUAGCUGGUCUGAGAGGACGACCAGCCACACCGGAACUGAGACACGGUCCGGACUCCUACGGGAGCAGCAGUGGGGAAUAUUGGACAAGUGGGGGAAACCCUGAUCCAGCGACGCCGCGUGGGUGAAGAAGGCCUGCGGGUUGUAAA